CUUAGGCAAUAGAAGAACCAUAGCUAAUGCAUAGAUUAAAUUUUAAAUUCAUCAAUACUUACUCAAGAGAGAAUAAAUAGAUCAUGAUUGGAAAUGGUAUAUGUUUUGAUUCAUGGAACUUCUUGUAGUAACAACAUAUAUUUUUAAACCCAUCAGAAAAGUUACUUUUGAAGCCAAUCCAUUGGGUAAUUUUCAAAAUCAUAAAAGGAACAUUUUUUUAUAGGUAAAUAUUAAUAGUUAGUAAUUAGUUGUUAGUAUAUUACAAAUGCUCCAUCUUCCAAAUUUGAACCUAAAAUCUUCAACUCCUUCUACCCAUAUCUCAAACCAAUUAAGCUAUCUGAUCCCUCAUAAAUUAAACAUUUUAUUUAUAUAUUUACUUGGAUAAGUAUCUGUUUUUAGGUUAUGCGUAAUAUUUGAAAGGUUACAUUGUGAAAUUAAUACACAUAAAUACAAGAAGUUUUACACCCCAAUUUUUAUAAUGCUUUGUUUGUGCUUGAUACUUGAUGUCUAUUAUGUAUGCCAUGAAUUUGAGUUAAUGGAUUGAGUGUAAGGUAUUUUAGACGAGUUUUGGAAUCUAUUUCAAAAGAGAAAACCCCCAUUUUUCACAAACCUGAAUAUCUUGCAUUCUGAGCUAGGUAAUUUGAAAUCAAGUAUUUUUGUCUAAUUUUGUAAUGCAAGGGAAUUUACUCUCAUUGUGAUGUACUUAGAAAAUCAUUUUCAAAGGCUCACAUUGCCUUGUGACCUGAGUAAAUCAUAAUGAGAUGACG
Molecule: long non-coding RNA, 767 nt
Filed under: Medicago truncatula (barrel medic)
Lineage: Eukaryota; Viridiplantae; Streptophyta; Magnoliopsida; Fabales; Fabaceae
Description: lncRNA gene39871
Source: RNAcentral